Molecule: ribosomal RNA, 860 nt
Filed under: Staphylococcus aureus
Lineage: Bacteria; Bacillati; Bacillota; Bacilli; Caryophanales; Staphylococcaceae
Description: partial 23S ribosomal RNA
Rfam family: Bacterial large subunit ribosomal RNA
Source: RNAcentral
AGAUUAAGUUAUUAAGGGCGCACGGUGGAUGCCUUGGCACUAGAAGCCGAUGAAGGACGUUACUAACGACGAUAUGCUUUGGGGAGCUGUAAGUAAGCUUUGAUCCAGAGAUUUCCGAAUGGGGAAACCCAGCAUGAGUUAUGUCAUGUUAUCGAUAUGUGAAUACAUAGCAUAUCAGAAGGCACACCCGGAGAACUGAAACAUCUUAGUACCCGGAGGAAGAGAAAGAAAAUUCGAUUCCCUUAGUAGCGGCGAGCGAAACGGGAAGAGCCCAAACCAAAAAGCUUGCUUGUUGGGGUUGUAGGACACUCUAUACGGAGUUACAAAGGACGACAUUAGACGAAUCAUCUGGAAAGAUGAAUCAAAGAAGGUAAUAAUCCUGUAGUCGAAAAUGUUGUCUCUCUUGAGUGGAUCCUGAGUACGACGGAGCACGUGAAAUUCCGUCGGAAUCUGGGAGGACCAUCUCCUAAGGCUAAAUACUCUCUAGUGACCGAUAGUGAACCAGUACCGUGAGGGAAAGGUGAAAAGCACCCCGGAAGGAGAGUGAAAUAGAACCUGAAACCGUGUGCUUACAAGUAGUCAGAGCCCGUUAAUGGGUGAUGGCGUGCCUUUUGUAGAAUGAACCGGCGAGUUACGAUUUGAUGCAAGGUUAAGCAGUAAAUGUGGAGCCGUAGCGAAAGCGAGUCUGAAUAGGGCGUUUAGUAUUUGGUCGUAGACCCGAAACCAGGUGAUCUACCCUUGGUCAGGUUGAAGUUCAGGUAACACUGAAUGGAGGACCGAACCGACUUACGUUGAAAAGUGAGCGGAUGAACUGAGGGUAGCGGAGAAAUUCCAAUCGAACCUGGAGAUAGCUGGUUCUC